UACGAAGGGUGCAAGCGUUGUUCGGAAUUACUGGGCGUAAAGGGCGCGUAGGCGGGUCCGUAUGUCGAUUGUGAAAGCCCUGGGCUUAACCUGGGAAUUGCAGUCGAAACUGCGGAUCUUGAGUGCUUGAGAGGAUGGCGGAAUUCCCGAUGUAGUAGUGAAAUACGUAGAUAUCGGGAAGAACACCUGAGGCGAAGGCGGCUAUCUGGCGAUGCACUGACGCUGAGGCGCGAAAGCGUGGGGAGCAAACAGG
RNAcentral lists this ribosomal RNA (253 nucleotides) under uncultured bacterium. RNAcentral's name for it is "partial 16S ribosomal RNA". It matches the Rfam family "Bacterial small subunit ribosomal RNA", at positions 524 to 776 of the family's 1533-position model. The record is from RNAcentral.